CCCGGCACAAGCGGAGGAACAUGUGGUUUAAUUCGAUGAUACGCGAGGAACCUUACCCGGGCUUGAAAUGCAUCUGACCGGCUUGGAAACAGGCCUUCUAGCAAUAGCAGAUGUGUAGGUGCUGCAUGGUUGUCGUCAGCUCGUGCCGUGAGGUGUCGGCUUAAGUGCCAUAACGAGCGCAACCCUUAUCAUUAGUUGCCAGCGGGUCAUGCCGGGAACUCUAAUGAGACUGCCACCGUAAGGUGUGAGGAAGGUGGGGAUGACGUCAAAUCAGCACGGCCCUUACGUCCGGGGCGACACACGUGUUACAAUGGGGGGUACAGAGGGUCGCUACCACGUGAGUGGAUGCUAAUCUCAUAAAGCCUCUCUCAGUUCGGAUCGGAGUCUGCAACUCGACUCCAUGAAGUUGGAAUCGCUAGUAAUCGCAGAUCAGCACGCUGCGGUGAGUACGUUCCCGGGCCUU
RNAcentral lists this ribosomal RNA (463 nucleotides) under uncultured Paludibacter sp. Its description in RNAcentral is "bacterial SSU rRNA". It matches the Rfam family "Bacterial small subunit ribosomal RNA", at positions 920 to 1382 of the family's 1533-position model. Lineage: Bacteria; Pseudomonadati; Bacteroidota; Bacteroidia; Bacteroidales; Paludibacteraceae. The record is from RNAcentral.